Molecule: ribosomal RNA, 253 nt
Filed under: uncultured bacterium
Lineage: Bacteria
Description: partial 16S ribosomal RNA
Rfam family: Bacterial small subunit ribosomal RNA
Source: RNAcentral
UACGUAGGGGGCGAGCGUUGCCCGGAUUCACUGGGCGUAAAGCGGGUGUAGGCGGUCUCUUAAGUCGGAUGUGAAAUCCUGCGGCCUAACCGCGGAACUGCAUCCGAUACUGGGAGACUUGAGGACGGUAGAGGUCGGUGGAAUUCCCGGUGUACCGGUGAAAUGGACAGAUAUCAGGAAGAACACCAAUGGCGAAAGCAGCUCUCUGGGACGGUACUGACGCUGAGACGCGAAAGCGUGGGGAGCGAACAGG